UAUACAUGCAAGUCGUGGGGCAAGCGUUGGUAGCAAUACCGACGCCUAGACCGGCAAACGGGUGAGGAACACGUACACAACCUCCCUCAUAGUGGAGAAUAACCCGGGGAAACCUGGACUAAUACUCCGUAACAUAUUGAAAAGGCAUCUUUUUAAUAUUAUAGCAGCAAUGCGCUAAGAGACGGGUGUGCGCAUGAUUAGGUAGUUGGCGGGGUAACGGCCCACCAAGCCUACGAUCAUUAACUGGUGUGAGAGCACGAUCAGUCACACGGGCACUGAGACACGGGCCCGACUCCUACGGGAGGCAGCAGUAAGGAAUAUUGGUCAAUGGAGGAAACUCUGAACCAGCCAUGCCGCGUGGAGGAUGAAGGUCCUCUGGAUUGUAAACUUCUUUUAUAUGGGACGAAAAAACGGUUUUCUAACCGGACUGACGGUACCAUACGAAUAAGCACCGGCUAACUCCGUGCCAGCAGCCGCGGUAAUACGGAGGGUGCAAGCGUUAUCCGGAUUCACUGGGUUUAGAGGGAGCGCAGGUGGGCUAGUAAGUCAGUGGUGAAAUCUCCGAGCUUAACUCGGAAAUUGCCGUUGAUACUAUUAGUCUUGAAUAUUGUGGAGGUUAGCGGAAUAUGUCAUGUAGCGGUGAAAUGCUUAGAUAUGACAUGGAACACCAAUUGCGAAGGCAGCUGGCUACACAAAUAUUGACACUGAGGCUCGAAAGCGUGGGGAUCAA
This 730-nucleotide ribosomal RNA is filed under the name uncultured bacterium. RNAcentral describes it as "bacterial SSU rRNA". It matches the Rfam family "Bacterial small subunit ribosomal RNA", at positions 50 to 771 of the family's 1533-position model. The record is from RNAcentral.